UGGGGCGUUGUCUAAUGGCAGGACGACAGACUCUGGAUCUGUUUGUGAGGGUUCGAAUCCUUCCGCCCCAG
RNAcentral lists this transfer RNA (71 nucleotides) under Thermospira aquatica. Its description in RNAcentral is "Spirochaetales bacterium F1F22 tRNA-Gln". It matches the Rfam family "tRNA". Rfam says of the family: Transfer RNA (tRNA) molecules are approximately 80 nucleotides in length. The record is from RNAcentral. Lineage: Bacteria; Pseudomonadati; Spirochaetota; Spirochaetia; Brevinematales; Thermospiraceae.